AAUAGAUACCCCGGUAGUCCACGCUGUAAACGAUGAGGACUAAAUGUUGGUAGGGGAACCUAUCGGUAUUGAAGCUAACGCGAUAAGUCUUCCGCCUGGGAAGUACGGCCGCAAGGUUGAAACUCAAAUGAAUUGACGGGGGCCCGCACAAGCGGUGGAGCAUGUGGUUUAAUUCGAUGCAACGCGAAGAACCUUACCUACCCUUGACAUCCUGCGAAUCCCGAUGAGAGUUGGGAGUGCCGCAAGGAGCGCAGAGACAGGUGCUGCAUGGCUGUCGUCAGCUCGUGUUGUGAGAUGUUGGGUUAAGUCCCGUAACGAGCGCAACCCUUGUCCUUAGUUGCCAGCAUUAAGUUGGGGACUCUAAGGAGACUGCCGGUGAGGAACCGGAGGAAGGCGGGGACGACGUCAAGUCAUCAUGGCCUUUAUGGGUAGGGCUACACACGUGCUACAAUGGGGCGUACAGAGGGUCGCGAACCCGCGAGGGGGAGCCAAUCUCAUAAAGCGUCUCGUAGUCCGGAUUGGAGUCUGCAACUCGACUCC
This 540-nucleotide ribosomal RNA is filed under the name uncultured bacterium. RNAcentral describes it as "bacterial SSU rRNA". It matches the Rfam family "Bacterial small subunit ribosomal RNA", at positions 777 to 1319 of the family's 1533-position model. The record is from RNAcentral.